AGUUUGAUCNUGGCUCAGAAANAACGCUGGNGGCAGGCCNUAACAAAAUCCAAGUCGAGCGCNCUUUCGGGUGAGCGGCGGACGGGUUAGUAACGCGUGGGAANANACCUUUCUNUACGGAANAGCCUCGGGAAAUUGAGAGUAAUACCGUAUNCNCCCUUCGGGGAAAGAUUUAUUGGAGAAGGAUUAGCCCGCGUUAGAUUAGGUAGUUGGUGGGGUAAUGGCCUNCCAAGCCUACGAUCUAUANCUGGUUUGAGAGGAUGAUCANCAACACUGGGNNUGAGACACGGCCCAGACUCCUACGGGAGGCAGCAGUGGGGAAUNUUAGNCAAUGGGGGAAACCCUGAUCUAGCCAUNCCGCGUGAGUGACGAAGGCCCUAGGGUCGUAAAGCUCUUUCANCUGUGAAGAUAAUGACGGUAGCAGCAGAAGAAACCCCGGCUAACUCCGUGCCAGCAGCCGCGGUAAUAC
Molecule: ribosomal RNA, 469 nt
Filed under: uncultured Alphaproteobacteria bacterium
Lineage: Bacteria; Pseudomonadati; Pseudomonadota; Alphaproteobacteria
Description: partial 16S ribosomal RNA
Rfam family: Bacterial small subunit ribosomal RNA
Source: RNAcentral